Molecule: ribosomal RNA, 478 nt
Filed under: uncultured bacterium
Lineage: Bacteria
Description: partial 16S ribosomal RNA
Rfam family: Bacterial small subunit ribosomal RNA
Source: RNAcentral
GACGAACGCUGGCGGCGUGCUUAACACAUGCAAGUCGAACGGUAAGGCCCUUCGGGGUACACGAGUGGCGAACGGGUGAGUAACACGUGGGUGAUCUGCCCUGCACUUCGGGAUAAGCCUGGGAAACUGGGUCUAAUACCGGAUAGGACCACUGCCUGCAUGGGUGGUGGUGGAAAGCUUUUGCGGUGUGGGAUGGGCCCGCGGCCUAUCAGCUUGUUGGUGGGGUGAUGGCCUACCAAGGCGACGACGGGUAGCCGGCCUGAGAGGGUGACCGGCCACAGUGGGGCUGAGAGAGUGCCCAGACUCCUACGGGAGGCAGCAGUGGGGAAUAUUGCACAAUGGGCGCAAGCCUGAUGCAGCGACGCCGCGUGAGGGAUGACGGCCUUCGGGUUGUAAACCUCUUUCAGCACCGACGAAGCGCAAGUGACGGUAGGUGCAGAAGAAGGACCGGCCAACUACGUGCCAGCCGCCGCCGUAA